RNAcentral lists this ribosomal RNA (289 nucleotides) under uncultured bacterium. RNAcentral's name for it is "partial 16S ribosomal RNA". It matches the Rfam family "Bacterial small subunit ribosomal RNA", at positions 335 to 621 of the family's 1533-position model. The record is from RNAcentral.
GUCCUACGGGACGCAGCAGUGAGGAAUAUUGGUCAAUGGGCGGGAGCCUGAACCAGCCAAGUCGCGUGAGGGAAGACGGUCCUAUGGAUUGUAAACCUCUUUAGGCGGGGAGCAAUGCCGGGCACGCGUGCCCGGAGGGAGAGUACCCGCAGAAUAAGCAUCGGCUAACUCCGUGCCAGCAGCCGCGGUAAUACGGAGGAUCCGAGCGUUAUCCGGAUUUAUUGGGUUUAAAGGGAGCGUAGGGGGAUUGUUAAGGCAGUUGUGAAAGUUUGCGGCUCAACCGUAAAAU